This 725-nucleotide ribosomal RNA is filed under the name uncultured bacterium. RNAcentral describes it as "bacterial SSU rRNA". It matches the Rfam family "Bacterial small subunit ribosomal RNA", at positions 610 to 1335 of the family's 1533-position model. The record is from RNAcentral.
UAACUCGAGAAGUGCCCCAGAAACGGCAAGACUAGAAUCUUGGAGAGGCGAGCGGAAUCCCGGUGUAGCGGUGAAAUGCGUAGAGAUCGGGAGGAACACCAGAGGCGAAGGCGGCUCGCUGGACAAGUAUUGACACUCAACAACGAAAGCGUGGGAGCAAACAGGAUUAGAUACCCUGGUAGUCCACGCUGUAAACGAUGGGUACUAGCUUUGGUGGGUCUUGACCCCCGCCGAAGCGGAGCUAACGCACUAAGUACCCCGCCUGGGAAGUACGGUCGCAAGACUAAAACUCAAAGGAAUUGACGGGGGCCCGCACAAGCGGUGGAUCAUGUGGUUUAAUUCGAAGCAACGCGAAAAACCUUACCUGGGUUUGACAUCCCCGGACAACCCUAGAAAUAGGGCUUCAGUAGCAAUACUGCCGGGUGACAGGUGCUGCAUGGCUGUCGUCAGCUCGUGUGGUGACAUGUUGGGUUAAGUCCCGCAACGAGCGCAACCCUUAUCUUUAGUUGCCAGCAUUCAGUUGGGCUCUCUAGAGAGACUGCCGUGGUUAACACGGAGGAAGGUGGGGAUGACGUCAAGUCCUCAUGGCCUUUAUAUCCAGGGCGACACACGUGAUACAAUGGACGGUACAGAGGGAAGCCAAAGCGCGAGCUGGAGCCAAUCUCAAAAAGCCGUUCUCAGUUCGGAUUGGAGUAUGCAACUCGAGUCCAUGAAGUUGGAAUCGC